GACGAACGCUGGCGGCGUGCUUAACACAUGCAAGUCGAACGGAAAGGCCCUGCUUUUGUGGGGUGCUCGAGUGGCGAACGGGUGAGUAACACGUGAGUAACCUGCCCUUGACUUUGGGAUAACUUCAGGAAACUGGGGCUAAUACCGGAUAGGAGCUCCUGCUGCAUGGUGGGGGUUGGAAAGUUUCGGCGGUUGGGGAUGGACUCGCGGCUUAUCAGCUUGUUGGUGGGGUAGUGGCUUACCAAGGCUUUGACGGGUAGCAGGCCUGAGAGGGUGACCGGCCACAUUGGGACUGGGAUACGGCCCAGACUCCUACGGGAGGCAGCAGUGGGGAAUAUUGCACAAUGGGCGGAAGCCUGAUGCAGCAACGCCGCGUGCGGGAUGACGGCCUUCGGGUUGUAAACCGCUUUCGCCUGUGACGAAGCGUGAGUGACGGUAAUGGGUAAAGAAGCACCGGCUAACUACGUG
Molecule: ribosomal RNA, 468 nt
Filed under: uncultured bacterium
Lineage: Bacteria
Description: partial 16S ribosomal RNA
Rfam family: Bacterial small subunit ribosomal RNA
Source: RNAcentral